Molecule: ribosomal RNA, 253 nt
Filed under: uncultured bacterium
Lineage: Bacteria
Description: partial 16S ribosomal RNA
Rfam family: Bacterial small subunit ribosomal RNA
Source: RNAcentral
UACGAAGGGGGCUAGCGUUGUCCGGAAUUACUGGGCGUAAAGCGCGUGUAGGCGGAUGAGCAAGUCUGCUGUGAAAGCUCCUGGCUUAACCGGGAGUGGUCGGUGGAAACUGCUCGUCUGGAGGACGGUAGAGGUAGGUAGAAUUCCCGGUGUAGUGGUGAAAUGCGUAGAGAUCCGGAGGAACACCAGUGGCGAAGGCGACACGCUGGGCCGUACCUGACACUGAUGCGCGACAGCAUGGGGAGCAAACAGG